ACACGACUACAUUAGAUACCCCCGUAGUCCUAGCCGUAAACGAUACUCGCUAGGUGUCGGCCACGGUGCGACCGUUGUCGGUGCCGUAGGGAAGCCGUGAAGCGAGCCACCUGGGAAGUACGGCCGCAAGGCUGAAACUUAAAGGAAUUGGCGGGGGAGCACCACAAGAGGUGGAGGCUGCGGUUCAAUUGGACUCAACGCCAGAAAUCUUACCGGGACCGACAGCAACAUGAAGGCCAGGCUGAAGACUUUGCCGGAUUAGCUG
Molecule: ribosomal RNA, 265 nt
Filed under: uncultured archaeon
Lineage: Archaea
Description: partial 16S ribosomal RNA
Rfam family: Archaeal small subunit ribosomal RNA
Source: RNAcentral